AUGCAAGUCGUACGAGAGUUUUUAACUCAAGUGGCGGACGGGUGAGUAACACGUAAGAAUUUGCCUUUAGGAGGGGGACAACAACUGGAAACGGUUGCUAAUACCCCAUAUGCUUUCGAGUGAAAUGGAAUUUCCGCCUAAAGAGAAGCUUGCGGCUGAUUAGCUUGUUGGUGAGGUAAUGGCUCACCAAGGCGACGAUCAGUAUCUGGUUUGAGAGGAUGAUCAGACACACUGGAACUGAGACACGGUCCAGACUCCUACGGGAGGCAGCAGUGGGGAAUUUUCCGCAAUGGGCGAAAGCCUGACGGAGCAAUACCGCGUGAGGGAUGAAGGCUCAUGGGUUGUAAACCUCUUUUUUCAGGGAGGAAUUCAUGACGUGUACCUGAAGAAUAAGCAUCGGCUAACUCCGUGCCAGCAGCCGCGGUAAGACGGAGGAUGCAAGUGUUAUCCGGAAUCACUGGGCGUAAAGCGUCUGUAGGUGGUUUAACAAGUCAACUGUUAAAUCUUGAAGCUCAACUUCAAAAUCGCAGUCGAAACUAUUAGACUAGAGUAUAGUAGAGGUAAAGGGAAUUUCCAGUGGAGCGGUGAAAUGCGUAGAGAUUGGAAAGAACACCGAUGGCGAAAGCAC
This 628-nucleotide ribosomal RNA is filed under the name uncultured cyanobacterium. RNAcentral describes it as "bacterial SSU rRNA". It matches the Rfam family "Bacterial small subunit ribosomal RNA", at positions 55 to 724 of the family's 1533-position model. The record is from RNAcentral. Lineage: Bacteria; Bacillati; Cyanobacteriota.